UAUAAUAGCUAGGAACAAUUGCUUAUAUACUCCUGAAAAUUUUUUGACUUUUUGAUUUAUCCCUUUAAGAAGAUUAAUAUUAAAAACACAUUUUUUACAUUCUAAGUUAUUUCAAAUAUACUCUUAUAGUUAAAUUCUUUAGUGAACUAUUAGCAAUAUUCGUUAUUUACGUAAAAUUACUAUUUUGCCCUUUUAAAUAUAUUCUUCUACCAUCACUAAUUUUUCUUAUUUACCCUUAAGUUAGGGAGCAAAAGAAAUAUUUUGAUUUUUUAUCUUUUCAAAUAUAUCCUUCCCUCAUUCCCAACUUUUCUUAUUUGCGAUUAAAUUAAAGACAAAAGAGAUAUUUUGAUUUUAAUUCUGAUAGAUAUUUAACUUACGUUUAACCUUAGAUAACUUAGUGGGUGAUAACUGCGGAAGUAUUUUUAAAUAGCGGAGGAACAUAUGAGAGUUAUAUUAAAAACAAAAAUGAAAUAGAAAUAAAUUAGAUAUUUUUGAAGUUUUGAGAGAUAUAUAAAUAAUUAUCCUUAAUAGUUAUUUAACUCUAUACUAAAGUUGAAACCAAAUGCCGUUCCUCUAUCGAGCCACGUGGCUUUUUUUUUAUAUGAGUUUUCUCUCUCUCCCUCGCAUGCUCUCCCUCCCUCACAUGGACUCACAUGGGCUAUGUUAAAUGGGCAUGUACUAUACAAAAUUUUGUUUCAUGCACCCUCUGUAUCAUGUUAAACAAUAAUGAUUUUAAAGGAAAGAGGCUAUGUUAAAGGGGCUUGUACUAUGAAAAAUUUUGUUCCAUGCACCCUCUGUAUCAUGUUAAACAAUAAUGAUUUUAAAGGCAAGCUUAGUUAAAAUCAACCAGAAGAAUAUCAUCUUAAUUUUACAGUUCUGGACCUUUUCUUUGUCGCCGAAAGGUCUACCAAUUAAAAUCUUUAUCAGAUUGCUACUAUUUUCCGUCCUCACUUUUGGAGUGUUAGAAUGACACGAAAUUUUAAAUCUAGCCUAAGAAAAAUAACUUCGGCAUAUAUUCAAAGUUUAAUAUUUUUUUUGCACUGUGCAUUUUCUUCUAAAAAAAAACUAUAUUCCUUACAGAAAAUUCUAAAUCUCCUGUUUUCAUUCCAAUUUCACCAUGAAUUAUUUGUAAAUUGUCUUUUACUUUUUUAAGUCCAAUAGAAAUAGUAUCCACCCACAAGAUAACUUUUUUUCGUACAAAAUUUUUCAUACUACAUACAUAGGGUGCAUGAAACAAAAAAAUUCAUAGUACAUAGAAUAUUGUCUUGUCCUUUUGCUAUCUUUCUAGUCAUGA
This 1294-nucleotide long non-coding RNA is filed under the name Ananas comosus (pineapple). RNAcentral describes it as "long non-coding RNA (ACOM_LNC009866)". The record is from RNAcentral. Lineage: Eukaryota; Viridiplantae; Streptophyta; Magnoliopsida; Poales; Bromeliaceae.